AAUAACGAUAUUCGUUGGGGUGUGGAGGAGCGGGGAUAUCGCCGGCGAUAUACCUGUACUAGGUUAAUUAAUAAGAACACCACGACUAAAACUGCAAGUUUUAAACUGGUUUAAUAUUUAUCGAAGUUGACAGUGCGCGGUGAAGGACCGGUGCAUACACGCGUGCGAAAUAUGUCGUUCGGUGUGCCUUGUGUCCCCGACUGAUCCACGUACAAGUGCACGGGACACAUCGCCGUGUGUAUGGGUGCGGUGCAACAGUUGGCAACAUUGUUGUCUCUCCUCCGCAUACCGCAGUGUGAUAUUCGAGAAGACGAAGAUGAAAGAGAAGGAGGAUAAGAAGAACAAGAGGACGAGGUGAGGAGCGCAUGAAAAUAAUCAUCGGUUAAUUACGGCUUCCCAUGAUCACGUUGGUUUACCGAAGAGGAGCCCUCGCGCGUUGAAGGGUGCAGUAAACGAGAAUAAGAAAAACGAGUAUGGUUACAGAGGAAGAUAAAGGGGAGGGAGCAGCCGAAGAAGAAGAAUAAGAAAAAAGAAAAAAAAAGGAGGAAGAACGAAGAAGAGGAGAAUGAGAACAAAAAUCGUGGGUAUCCGCGGAGAGAGAUGCUCCGGAGCAUCCCGCAGGAGCAGCUCGGGAGCAGUAAUAAUAAUAUCGGUGCAUCAGGGGAGAAAAUAAUGUCGACCGUAUAGCGGUGCUACGUGGUAGUUUGAGAAGAAGAGAGGUGAAACCGAAAGACCGCGAAGAGAAAGAGGGAGAAGAAAAAACGAGAUGAACC
Long non-coding RNA from Athalia rosae (coleseed sawfly), 773 nucleotides. RefSeq lists it as uncharacterized. Lineage: Eukaryota; Metazoa; Arthropoda; Insecta; Hymenoptera; Athaliidae. The record is from RefSeq and is a predicted model, not a curated record. The transcript is spliced from 2 exons.